This 22-nucleotide unclassified non-coding RNA is filed under the name Chlamydomonas reinhardtii. RNAcentral describes it as "small RNA Cre_3449". The record is from RNAcentral. Lineage: Eukaryota; Viridiplantae; Chlorophyta; Chlorophyceae; Chlamydomonadales; Chlamydomonadaceae.
UGGUGAGCGUGGAUAGCCACUU